RNAcentral lists this transfer RNA (72 nucleotides) under Candidatus Methanofrustulum fimipullorum. RNAcentral describes it as "tRNA-Arg". It matches the Rfam family "tRNA". Rfam says of the family: Transfer RNA (tRNA) molecules are approximately 80 nucleotides in length. Their secondary structure includes four short double-helical elements and three loops (D, anti-codon, and T loops). The record is from RNAcentral. Lineage: Archaea; Methanobacteriati; Methanobacteriota; Methanomicrobia; Methanosarcinales; Methanosarcinaceae.
GUCCCGAUGGGGUAGCGGAUAUCCCGGAAGCCUCCGGAGCUUUCAACCUGAGUUCAAAUCUCAGUCGGGAUG